Molecule: ribosomal RNA, 117 nt
Organism: Danio rerio (zebrafish)
Lineage: Eukaryota; Metazoa; Chordata; Actinopteri; Cypriniformes; Danionidae
Source: Ensembl
AGCCACAACCGUUUCACCCUGCAGCCCAAGACUAGUUAUUCACUUAGGCUAAGCAGGGCUGAGCCUGGUCAGUACCUGGAUGGGAGACCACAUGGGAAAACUAGGUUGCUGUUGGAA